GGAGGUAGUGACAAUAAAUCACAAUGCGGGACUCCUAGUCUUGCAAUUGGAUUGAGAACAACGUACAACUCUUAUCGAUAAGCCAUUGGAGGGCAAGUCUGGUGCCAGCAGCCGCGGUAAUUCCAGCUCCAAUAGCGUAUAUUAACGUUGUUGCAGUUAAAAAGCUCGUAGUUGAAGUGAGGGAGUGUGUGGGUAUGAGAGCUAGUCUCAAGUACUUACAACCUCCCCCCUCCAAUCGGUGUAGUGGGGUAUUCACUUAUUUCACUACUCCUUUGGUCGUUUACUGUGAGAAAAUUAGAGUGUUCAAAGCGGGCGUUUGUUUGAAUAGAUUAGCAUGGAAUAAUGAUUGAAGGCUUUCGUGUUCGAUUUGAUUGGUUUGUUCAUGGAAGCAAGGUUAAAAGGAACAGUUGGGGGUAUUCAUAUUCACUAGUUAGAGGUGAAAUUCUCGGAUUUAUGGAAGAUGAACAAGUGCGAAAGCA
Molecule: ribosomal RNA, 479 nt
Filed under: Blastocystis sp.
Lineage: Eukaryota; Bigyra; Opalinata; Blastocystidae
Description: SSU rRNA
Rfam family: Eukaryotic small subunit ribosomal RNA
Source: RNAcentral